UACGUAGGGUGCAAGCGUUGUCCGGAAUUAUUGGGCGUAAAGAGCUCGUAGGCGGUUUGUCGCGUCUGCUGUGAAAACGCGAGGCUCAACCUCGCGCCUGCAGUGGGUACGGGCAGACUGGAGUGCGGUAGGGGAGAUUGGAAUUCCUGGUGUAGCGGUGAAAUGCGCAGAUAUCAGGAGGAACACCGGUGGCGAAGGCGGGUCUCUGGGCCGAUACUGACGCUGAGGAGCGAAAGCGUGGGGAGCGAACAGG
Molecule: ribosomal RNA, 253 nt
Filed under: uncultured bacterium
Lineage: Bacteria
Description: partial 16S ribosomal RNA
Rfam family: Bacterial small subunit ribosomal RNA
Source: RNAcentral